This 24-nucleotide small nuclear RNA is filed under the name Arabidopsis thaliana (thale cress). Its description in RNAcentral is "snRNA_04840". Lineage: Eukaryota; Viridiplantae; Streptophyta; Magnoliopsida; Brassicales; Brassicaceae. The record is from RNAcentral.
UCACGACUUAAACAGCGCAUUAAA